GACGAACGCUGGCGGCGUGCUUAACACAUGCAAGUCGAACGGAAAGGCCCUGCUUUUAUGGUGUGCUCGAGUGGCGAACGGGUGAGUAACACGUGAGUAACCUGCCCUUGACUUUGGGAUAACUUCAGGAAACUGGGGCUAAUACCGUAUAGGAGCUCCUGCUGCAUGGUGGGGGUUGGAAAGUUUCGGCGGUUGGGGAUGGACUCGCGGCUUAUCAGCUUGUUGGUUGGGUAGUGGCUUACCAAGGCUUUGACGGGUAGCCGGCCUGAGAGGGUGACCGGCCACAUUGGGACUGAGAUACGGACCAGACUCCUACGGGAGGCAGCAGUGGGGAAUAUUGCACAAUGGGCGGAAGCCUGAUGCAGAAACGCCGCGUGCGGGAUGACGGCUUUCGGGUUGUAAACCGCUUUAGCCUGUGACGAGGCGUGAGUGACGGUAAUGGGUAAAGAAGCACCGGCUAACUACGUG
RNAcentral lists this ribosomal RNA (468 nucleotides) under uncultured bacterium. RNAcentral describes it as "partial 16S ribosomal RNA". It matches the Rfam family "Bacterial small subunit ribosomal RNA", at positions 28 to 507 of the family's 1533-position model. The record is from RNAcentral.